UACGUAGGGGGCAAGCGUUGUCCGGAAUCAUUGGGCGUAAAGAGCGUGUAGGCGGUCCGGUCAGUCGGUUGUGAAAGUCAAGGGCUCAACCCUUGAAUGCCGGCCGAUACUGCCGGGCUAGAGUCCGGAAGAGGUGAGUGGAAUUCCGAGUGUAGAGGUGAAAUUCGUAGAUAUUCGGAAGAACACCAGUGGCGAAGGCGGCUCACUGGACCGGUAUUGACGCUGAGGUGCGAAAGCGUGGGGAGCAAACAGG
RNAcentral lists this ribosomal RNA (253 nucleotides) under uncultured bacterium. Its description in RNAcentral is "partial 16S ribosomal RNA". It matches the Rfam family "Bacterial small subunit ribosomal RNA", at positions 524 to 776 of the family's 1533-position model. The record is from RNAcentral.